This 444-nucleotide ribosomal RNA is filed under the name uncultured bacterium. RNAcentral's name for it is "partial 16S ribosomal RNA". It matches the Rfam family "Bacterial small subunit ribosomal RNA", at positions 338 to 795 of the family's 1533-position model. The record is from RNAcentral.
CCUACGUGUGGGCAGCAGUGGGGAAUAUUGGGCAAUGGGCGCAAGCCUGACCCAGCAACGCCGCGUGAAGGAAGAAGGUUUUCGGGUUGUAAACUUCUUUUCUCAGGGACGAAGUAAGUGACGGUACCUGAGGAAUAAGCGCUGGCUAACUGCGUGCCAGCAGCGGAGGUAAUACGUAGGUGGCAAGCGUUAUCCGGAUUUACUGGGUGGAAAGGGCGUGUAGGCGGGACUGCAAGUCAGAUGUGAAAAGCACGGGCUCAACCUGUGGCCUGCAUUUGAAACUGUAGUUCUUGAGUACUGGAGAGGCAGACGGAAUUCCUAGUGUAGCGGUGAAAUGCGUAGAUAUUAGGAGGAACACCAGUGGCGAAGGCGGUCUGCUGGACAGCAACUGACGCUGAGGCGCGAAAGCGUGGGGAGCAAACAGGAUUAGAUACCCUUGUAGUC